AUAUGUACACACAAAAAAACAAACACAAAAAAUAGUGUGCUGCCAUUUGACGACACAAACUCCCCCUGCUUAGCGCCUGUUCACCAAGGUGUGGAAAGUGAUGCAACUUCUGCUAAAGAGCAUCGUUCCAUUGCAAUCUCCAGGUUGUAUCAGCAGCAACACCCUGUGUAUCCAUCCACUUAAAAUCAUGAAUGAAUCCACUUCCUGCAGCGUUUUGGAGAGAAUAUUCUGGAUCCAGUAUUGUCAGUAUUGAUUCUGUGACCUCUGUGAUAGGUCAUCUCUUUUACCUUCUCUGUUCCGAGAGGACUCCUAACUUUUCCAAAUUACUCUUUACUGUAAUUCUAGACACUCUCUAAAUCAAUUCUUAGGCUUGAAGUCUGAAGAAGGGUCCCGACCCGAAACGUCACCCAUCCUUUUUCAGACAGAAAUGCUGCCUGACCCGCUGAGUUACUCCAGAACUUUGUGUCUAUCUUAGGCUUUUGACAUCCUUCCUUUAGUUUAGAGAUACAGCGUGGAAACAGGCCCUUCGGCCCACUGAGUCGGCGAUCCCCACACACUAACAGUUGAGCCGUGGGCCGAUCAGUUGCAUGGUGCUUUUGUGAACAGCAGCACAAACAUUGGGCUACGUGACCCUUUGAACAUUGUAAACCUUGAGAGAGAAGUUUGCUUUGUUGACAUCUUGCUCUUCUUUCCCACCCCCCAGGUUUGGCGUACUCUGAAUUGUUCUCUCCCCUUGCCAAGCUGUGGGGCUGGAUCUCGCUGCUGUCUCCAGAAAAAGCUCUGCCCCUGGUGUACUGGUGGUUGGGCACAGCCUGGUACCAGUUAACAACGGCCAUCUCCUUGAUCGAUGUCUUUACUCUGUCCAGGUGUGUCCCUCACGUGAAGAAGUGGAUGCUGCUGGUGUUGCUGGCAUUACUGGGUAAGGACCUGCUCCAUUUCACAUCUCACUUCAUCGAUCAUUGAUGUCUGCAGGAUAAUAUGAAGAGAAAAUCUUCACUGAGGGUUCGAGCAGUUGAGGCAAAACAUGAGGAGAAACAGUCAAGUUGAGAGUAAAGGAUUAAAGGUGGAGGGAAGGAUUGGGGGUGGGCCCUGGGCUGUAUUUAGCCGUCUGUUUGACAGAACAACACUGGUGAAUUUAUAGUGUCAACUGAGUAUCCCGAGUCCAAGGUUCUUGUUGCAAAUAGUAGGUAUGUUACAAAACCUACCUGAAUCGUGGCUGAGCAUAUGCCCCCAGGCCGUGUGCACGAUUUUGGCGCUGUUUAGAGGGGGCGGGUUUAAAACGCGAUUUUUACUAGGCUGUUGCAAUCGAAAAUGUUCAGCCUAGUAAAUCAUUAACGGAAAAUCGCUGAAAGACCCCGUCGCAAAAGGUAUUAUUAGUUUUUAUGGCCUUGUAUAAUAGUUAUAGUAGUUUAACAACCACUCUCUCAACCCGCGACCUCUCGCAGCCCCAGGGUUUUAUAAAGCAAACAAUUAAAGGUAUGUACCUUAUUUUUACAUUAAAAGGGGCUUCUUAAGAACCCUGUAUAUAAAGUUUUCUAUAGCGAAUAGCUCAUUUUGGGCUCUUUAUAUCACGCAGUAUUUUUCUGGGCAUUUGAGGGCACAAAUCCAGCGCAAUGUGAACGUUCUAAACCAGCGCGUUCACAGGAACACACUAGAAAGCCGAUUUAAAUUGACUUUAAUUUACAGCAAUUGAACACUAAAUUCUUUCCAUUUGGCCUAGAAAUUGAUGUAAA
Molecule: long non-coding RNA, 1733 nt
Organism: Leucoraja erinaceus (little skate)
Lineage: Eukaryota; Metazoa; Chordata; Chondrichthyes; Rajiformes; Rajidae
Exons: 3
Source: RefSeq, a predicted model, not a curated record